RNAcentral lists this ribosomal RNA (253 nucleotides) under uncultured bacterium. Its description in RNAcentral is "partial 16S ribosomal RNA". It matches the Rfam family "Bacterial small subunit ribosomal RNA", at positions 524 to 776 of the family's 1533-position model. The record is from RNAcentral.
UACGGGGGGGGCAAGCGUUGUUCGGAAUUAUUGGGUUUAAAGGGUGCGUAGGCGGCUUUGUAAGUCAGUGGUGAAAUAUGGCAGCUCAACUGUCAGGGUGCCAUUGAUACUGCGGAGCUUGAGUACAGAUGAGGUAGGCGGAAUUGACGGUGUAGCGGUGAAAUGCUUAGAUAUCGUCAAGAACACCGAUAGCGAAGGCAGCUUACUGGGCUGUAACUGACGCUGAGGCACGAAAGUGUGGGGAUCAAACAGG